GCGUGAUCUAUCCCUGGAGGAAGCUCGGGCUAAGUUCGUGCCAGCAGCCGCGGUAAGACGAACCGAGCGAACGUUGUUCGGAAUCACUGGGCUUAAAGGGCGCGUAGGCGGGCUGCCGCGUCCGGGGUGAAAGCCUCCCGCUCAACGGGAGAACGGCCUCGGAUACGGGCGGCCUCGAGGGGGGUAGGGGCGUGCGGAACUGUGGGUGGAGCGGUGAAAUGCGUUGAUAUCCACAGGAACUCCGGUGGCGAAGGCGGCACGCUGGACCCUCACUGACGCUGAGGCGCGAAAGCCAGGGGAGCGAACGGGAUUAGAUACCCCGGUAGUCCUGGCCGUAAACGAU
RNAcentral lists this ribosomal RNA (343 nucleotides) under Gemmata sp. Ha1-6. Its description in RNAcentral is "bacterial SSU rRNA". It matches the Rfam family "Bacterial small subunit ribosomal RNA", at positions 467 to 810 of the family's 1533-position model. Lineage: Bacteria; Pseudomonadati; Planctomycetota; Planctomycetia; Gemmatales; Gemmataceae. The record is from RNAcentral.